AGAGUUUGAUCCUGGCUCAGAAUCAACGCUGGCGGCGCGCCUAACACAUGCAAGUCGAACGAGAAAGCGGGAGCAAUCUCGCAAGUACAGUGGCGUACGGGUGAGUAACACGUGGAUCAUCUGCCCUGGAGUGGGGAAUAACGCUGGGAAACCGGCGCUAAUACCGCAUAUUCCCGAGAGGGGAAAGCAGCAAUGCGCUCGAGGAGGAGUCCGCGGCCGAUUAGCUAGUUGGCAGGGUAAAAGCCUACCAAGGCUAUGAUCGGUAGCCGGCCUGAGAGGGCACACGGCCACACUGGCACUGAAACACGGGCCAGACUCCUACGGGAGGCAGCAGUGGGGAAUCUUGCACAAUGGGGGAAACCCUGAUGCAGCGACGCCGCGUGAGCGAUGAAGCCCUUCGGGGUGUAAAGCUCUUUCGGCAGGGACGAUUAUGACGGUACCUGCAGAAGCAGCUGCGGCUAACUACGUGCCAGCAGCCGCGGUAAUACGUAGGCAGCAAGCGUUGUUCGGAGUUACUGGGCGUAAAGGGUGCGUAGGCGGCCUGUUAAGUUCCGUGUGAAAUCUCCCGGCUCAACCGGGAGGGUGCGCGGAAAACUGGCGGGCUAGAGUACGGGAUGGGAGAGUAGAAUUCCUGGUGUAGCGGUGAAAUGCGUAGAUAUCAGGAGGAAUACCGGUGGUGUAGACGGCUCUCUGGACCGUAACUGACGCUGAGACACGAAAGCGUGGGUAGCAAACAGGAUUAGAUACCCUGGUAGUCCACGCCCUAAACGAUGCAUAUUUGGUGUAGGUCAUUCAGUUGAUCUGUGCCGGAGCUAACGCGUUAAAUAUGCCGCCCGGGGAGUACAGUCGCAAGGCUGAAACUCAAAGGAAUUGACGGGGGCCCGCACAAGCGGUGGAGCAUGUGGUUCAUUCGACGCACGCGAGACCUUACCUGGGCUCGAACGGCUGGUCAACGAUCGUGGAAACACGGUUACUCCGCAAGGGGUCCAGUCGAGGUGC
RNAcentral lists this ribosomal RNA (999 nucleotides) under uncultured bacterium. RNAcentral's name for it is "bacterial SSU rRNA". It matches the Rfam family "Bacterial small subunit ribosomal RNA", at positions 8 to 1041 of the family's 1533-position model. The record is from RNAcentral.